UACAGAGGUCUCAAGCGUUGUUCGGAUUCAUUGGGCGUAAAGGGUGCGUAGGCGGCGCGGUAAGUCGGAUGUGAAAUCUCCAGGCUCAACCUGGAGGGGUCAUUCGAUACUGCCAUGACUAGAGGUCGGUAGGGGAGUGUGGAAUUCCUGGUGGAGCGGUGAAAUGCGCAGAUAUCAGGAGGAACACCCGUAGCGAAGGCGGCACUCUGGGCCGAUUCUGACACUGAGGAGCGAAAGCGUGGGGAGCGAACAGG
RNAcentral lists this ribosomal RNA (254 nucleotides) under uncultured bacterium. RNAcentral describes it as "partial 16S ribosomal RNA". It matches the Rfam family "Bacterial small subunit ribosomal RNA", at positions 524 to 776 of the family's 1533-position model. The record is from RNAcentral.